Molecule: transfer RNA, 72 nt
Filed under: Apaloderma vittatum (bar-tailed trogon)
Lineage: Eukaryota; Metazoa; Chordata; Aves; Trogoniformes; Trogonidae
Rfam family: tRNA
About the family: Transfer RNA (tRNA) molecules are approximately 80 nucleotides in length. Their secondary structure includes four short double-helical elements and three loops (D, anti-codon, and T loops).
Source: Rfam by way of RNAcentral
GGCCGGUUAGCUCAGUCAGUUGAGCGUGGCUCUAACAACGUCAAGGUCGCGGGUUCAAUUCCCAUUCGGUCC